GAGUCCCACUAUCAACACCCAAAGCUGAAGUUCUAUUUAAACUACUCCCUG
RNAcentral lists this transfer RNA (51 nucleotides) under Cephalophorus rufilatus (red-flanked duiker). RNAcentral describes it as "Cephalophus rufilatus (red-flanked duiker) partial tRNA-Pro". Lineage: Eukaryota; Metazoa; Chordata; Mammalia; Artiodactyla; Bovidae. The record is from RNAcentral.